This 253-nucleotide ribosomal RNA is filed under the name uncultured bacterium. RNAcentral describes it as "partial 16S ribosomal RNA". It matches the Rfam family "Bacterial small subunit ribosomal RNA", at positions 524 to 776 of the family's 1533-position model. The record is from RNAcentral.
CACGUAGGGCGCUAGCGUUGUCCGGAAUCAUUGGGCGUAAAGCGCGCGUAGGCGGCCCGGUAAGUCCGCUCUGAAAGUCCAGGGCUCAACCCUGGAAUGCGGGUGGAUACUGCCGGGCUCGAGUCCGGAAGAGGCGAGUGGAAUUCCUGGUGUAGCGGUGAAAUGCGUAGAUAUCGUAAGGAAGACCAGUGGCGAAGGCGGGUCUCUGGACAGUUCCUGACGCUGAGGCACGAAGGUCAGGGGAGCAAACGGG